ACACAUGCAGUCGNACGGUGACGGCAGACGUUGCUCUGUUUGAUCAGUGGCGAACGGGUGAGUAACACGUGAGUAACCUGCCCCUCACUCUGGGAUANCAUCGGGAAACCGGUGCUAAUACUGGAUACGAGAUGCCUCCGCAUGGGAGUGUCUGGAAAGAUUUAUUGGUGGGGGAUGGACUCGCGGCCUAUCAGCUUGUUGGUGGGGUAAUGGCCCACCAAGGCGACGACGGGUAGCCGGCCUGAGAGGGCGACCGGCCACACUGGGACUGAGACACGGCCCAGACUCCUACGGGAGGCAGCAGUGGGGAAUAUUGCACAAUGGGCG
This 327-nucleotide ribosomal RNA is filed under the name bacterium xpnta240lbim5onp9.8. RNAcentral's name for it is "bacterial SSU rRNA". It matches the Rfam family "Bacterial small subunit ribosomal RNA", at positions 51 to 377 of the family's 1533-position model. The record is from RNAcentral.